Long non-coding RNA from Poeciliopsis prolifica (blackstripe livebearer), 229 nucleotides. RefSeq lists it as uncharacterized. NCBI's taxonomy places the organism in Eukaryota, Metazoa, Chordata, Actinopteri, Cyprinodontiformes, Poeciliidae. The transcript has 2 exons. The record is from RefSeq and is a predicted model, not a curated record.
UGGUGGCUCUAAAGAAAUAAAAAACAAAGAAUCAGACAAGUGAUAAAACAUCACAUCAUGGUUAGCAAAAUACAGAAAAAACCCAACUACUUCAGCAGAAGUUUCUCACCUCCGGCGACCGAUCUUAGUUUCUCCAGGACACCAUGGAGCCUAGAGAAGGAACAAAGAGAGGUCUUCAGUCAUCUGCUGGGAGGUUUUCUUGUUUGCCACCAUCACCAUAAUAUAGUCA